RNAcentral lists this ribosomal RNA (407 nucleotides) under uncultured beta proteobacterium. RNAcentral describes it as "bacterial SSU rRNA". It matches the Rfam family "Bacterial small subunit ribosomal RNA", at positions 9 to 416 of the family's 1533-position model. Lineage: Bacteria; Pseudomonadati; Pseudomonadota; Betaproteobacteria. The record is from RNAcentral.
GAGUUUGAUCCUGGCUCAGAUUGAACGCUGGCGGCAUGCCUUACACAUGCAAGUCGAACGGCAGCACGGGUGCUUGCACCUGGUGGCGAGUGGCGAACGGGUGAGUAAUGCAUCGGAACGUACCCGGAAGUGGGGGAUAACGUAGCGAAAGUUACGCUAAUACCGCAUAUUCUGUGAGCAGGAAAGCGGGGGAUCGCAAGACCUCGCGCUUCCGGAGCGGCCGAUGUCGGAUUAGCUAGUUGGCGGGGUAAAGGCCCACCAAGGCGACGAUCCGUAGCGGGUCUGAGAGGAUGAUCCGCCACACUGGGACUGAGACACGGCCCAGACUCCUACGGGAGGCAGCAGUGGGGAAUUUUGGACAAUGGGGGCAACCCUGAUCCAGCCAUGCCGCGUGAGUGAAGAAGGCC